GACUGGUUGGCGCAAUGGUAGCGCGUUCGACUCCAGUCAGCGCAAGCUGCUAGGUAUCGAAAGGCUAGGCGUUCAAAUCGCCUACUGGUCA
Orbilia brochopaga is the source of this 91-nucleotide non-coding RNA. The record is from the annotation of a GenBank genome assembly. Lineage: Eukaryota; Fungi; Ascomycota; Orbiliomycetes; Orbiliales; Orbiliaceae.